Peromyscus eremicus (cactus mouse) is the source of this 419-nucleotide long non-coding RNA. RefSeq lists it as uncharacterized. The record is from RefSeq and is a predicted model, not a curated record. Lineage: Eukaryota; Metazoa; Chordata; Mammalia; Rodentia; Cricetidae. The transcript has 3 exons.
UAUACCAACUCCCACUGUUCUCUGCACUCUGAGUAGGUGGCCCAUUGGAAAACCGUUAGGUGAGACUUCAGAAUUUGUUUGAAGACCUCCCUAAUAUUGACUCUAAAACAACCGUGUUAGUCUUGGGGAUAAGAAUGGGUGUUUGGGUUGCUGGACUUAGAACUUGAUACCAGAGAUAUUGACCUUCAGUGAGAAGAAAUCCUUCUGAAUGAGGAACAGAGAAUGAACCUGAGCAGCUCAGAAGCACAUUGUUGAAGCUCAUUUAAAUCUUAAAAAGGCACUUGGACAUUCACCUCAUAACCUAAGUGAGGACCACACUGAGUCAAGAAAAUCUGGACAGACACACCAGCGUGGAUAACGAGGCGGUCAAACACAUUGUUUACUUGAUUCUGAUCAUUUUGUCUUCUAAGGUGAAUGCC